This 224-nucleotide ribosomal RNA is filed under the name uncultured bacterium. Its description in RNAcentral is "partial 16S ribosomal RNA". It matches the Rfam family "Bacterial small subunit ribosomal RNA", at positions 111 to 334 of the family's 1533-position model. The record is from RNAcentral.
UAACACGUGAGGGAACCUACCUUCAAGUGGGGAAUAACUGCCAGAAAUGGCAGCUAAUACCGCAUGUGGCUUUCCGAUGGCAUCUUCGGAAAACUAAAGAUUUAUCGCUUGGAGACGGCCUCGCGGCCUAUUAGCUAGUUGGUGGGGUAACGGCCUACCAAGGCGAUGAUGGGUAGCUGGUCUGAGAGGACGAUCAGCCACACUGGGACUGAGACACGGCCCAG